UACGGAGGGUGCAAACGUUGCUCGGAAUUAUUGGGCGUAAAGCGCACGUAGGCGGUUCGUUAUGUCGGAUGUGAAAGCCCUCGGCUUAACCGAGGAAGUGCAUCCGAAACUGGCGAGCUUGAGUAUGGAAGAGGGUCUCGGAAUUCCCGGUGUAGAGGUGAAAUUCGUAGAUAUCGGGAGGAACACCAACGGCGAAAGCACUCUGCUGGGCCGACACUGACACUGAGAGACGAAAGCUAGGGGAGCGAAUGGG
RNAcentral lists this ribosomal RNA (253 nucleotides) under uncultured bacterium. Its description in RNAcentral is "partial 16S ribosomal RNA". It matches the Rfam family "Bacterial small subunit ribosomal RNA", at positions 524 to 776 of the family's 1533-position model. The record is from RNAcentral.